Podarcis lilfordi (Lilford's wall lizard) is the source of this 80-nucleotide non-coding RNA. The record is from the annotation of a GenBank genome assembly. NCBI's taxonomy places the organism in Eukaryota, Metazoa, Chordata, Lepidosauria, Squamata, Lacertidae.
CACCUCCUGAGGGAUGGCUCAAUCAGUAGAGCAUGAGACUCUUAAUCUCAGGGUUAUGAGUUCAAGCCCACAUUGGGUGA